CCUACGGGAGGCAGCAGUGAGGAAUAUUGGUCAAUGGGCGAGAGCCUGAACCAGCCAAGUCGCGUGAGGGAGUACUGCCCUAUGGGUUGUAAACCUCUUUUGUCGGGGAGCAAAAGCCGGACGUGUCCGGCUGUGAGAGUACCCGAAGCAAAAGCAUCGGCUAACUCCGUGCCAGCAGCCGCGGUAAUACGGAGGAUGCGAGCGUUAUCCGGAUUUAUUGGGUUUAAAGGGUGCGCAGGCGGAUUUUUAAGUCAGCGGUAAAAUCGUGGGGCUCAACCCCAUCCAGCCGGUGAAACUGGGGAUCUAGAGUGUGCGAGAGGCAGACGGAAUUCCUAGUGUAGCGGGGAAAUGCGUAGAUAUUAGGAGGAACACCAGUGGCGAAGGCGGUCUGCUGGACAGCAACUGACGCUGAGGCGCGAAAGCGUGGGGAGCAAACAGGAUUAGAUACCCUGGUAGUC
Molecule: ribosomal RNA, 458 nt
Filed under: uncultured bacterium
Lineage: Bacteria
Description: partial 16S ribosomal RNA
Rfam family: Bacterial small subunit ribosomal RNA
Source: RNAcentral